This is a long non-coding RNA of Xiphias gladius (swordfish), 1237 nucleotides long. RefSeq lists it as uncharacterized. The transcript has 4 exons. The record is from RefSeq and is a predicted model, not a curated record. Lineage: Eukaryota; Metazoa; Chordata; Actinopteri; Istiophoriformes; Xiphiidae.
CCAAAGGAAGUAAGAACAAGGGCCCCUCCAAGGCAGCACAGAAGAAAGCCGAGGCAACUGGGGUGAAAAGACCCAGGGGACGACCGAGGAAAUGGCCACAACAAGUCGUCCAGAAAAAGCCUGCUCAGGAAGAACAAGAAGAAGAGGCUGGAGAGUCCCCAGAGAAGGACUAAGCUUCCAACCGUCAAACCUCUACCUCAUUCAGCUGUCAGGUCUUUCAAAGGGAAAAGACUGCCUUGACCACUUAUUUUUGACUUUUUCCAACAUUAUCUUACAGGUUUAAUUUCAGUUAGAGAAUUUCCAUGUCCAGUUUUUCUUUCAGUUUGCAGGCUUUGAGUGCAUCCUCACUGAUCUGUCACUGAACAGGCAAAAAUGUUCCGUUCUACAUUUUUUACAAAGACCAUUUGGAAUGCAGCAGCAUGGGGAACAUCAAAAGGAAACCUCUAGUAAUUGUACUGCUGCUAGCUCCUAUUGGCUGAACACAAAAACAGAGUUUAGCAGAAAGUUCAAAACAGACACAUAUCAGGCACAGAAAAACGUAUCAUCAGCCCUGCACAACAAACCUACACUCCUCAAUGAGAACCAACUAAAAACAAACAGAAACUGACAGCCAUAAUGAGUUAAUGUGGCCACACCCCAGCUGUUGGGAUUUGUAGUUCAGGAACCUCAGAACACCAUCAUCUUCAAAUGAGUGAGAGCAUUAGCGGCAGGUGCAUCAUUCUGAGGACUGCACCUUUGUACUGACGUGCAAAUCGAAUGCCCUCAUAGUACAACUGCAGUACUCUAGACUUCUGUCAUAGACAGACACAGACCCCAUCAGUGCUGACCGAUUCUCCAGAUGUUGACAGUAGAAAAGACUGGAACAGUCUGGUUUUGUCAUACAGAAAUGUAGAACAAAUGUCUGCUGUUCCAAUAUAUCAGUGUUGUCCCUGGAACAAAUGAACCGCCCCGACCAUCCCAAACUGGUGCUAGAUCACCAAAGACAGGGAGACACAGAGAUCUUUCCUCAGGGCAGUGGCUUUUCCAUCCUGUUUGCUUAAAGCCAUUUAGAAAAAAAAGUUUGCUGAAGUUGUUGGCUCAGAUUUAGCUUUAGAAUCCCUCAUAGAUUCCCCAUACAUCAUCUUUACAUUUACAAGAAAGCCAUCUUCCUGUAUCUUCUUUCUCUGCUGAACAUGCAGGGACCAACCAGCACCUAAUACAAAAGUUCAUCACUGGGUGAACCUGUCUGGUCUCUUGA